This 68-nucleotide transfer RNA is filed under the name Paranauphoeta nigra. Its description in RNAcentral is "tRNA-Tyr". Lineage: Eukaryota; Metazoa; Arthropoda; Insecta; Blattodea; Blaberidae. The record is from RNAcentral.
AGUAGAAUGACUGAGAGAAAUAGGUGAAAGAUUGUAAAUCUUUAUAGGAGUUGUUAACUCUUCUACUA